CAAUAGCGUAUAUUAAAGUUGUUGCGGUAAAAAAGCUCGUAGUUGGAUUUCUACCGAAGAUAGCCGGUCGGGUCUUCGACCUUGUAUCUGGUUUUGUCUUUGGUAUCCUCAUAGGGAACGUUUCUGCGCUUUAUUGCGUGGUGCGGUAUCUAUGACUUUUACUUUGAGGAAAUUAGAGUGUUCACGGCAGGCAAACGCCUUGAAUAUAUUAGCAUGGAAUAAUAACAUAGGAUCUUCGUCCUAUUUUGUUGGUUUCUAGGGCUAAGAUAAUGAUUAAUAGGGAUAAUUGGGGGCAUCUGUAUCAACGCGUCAAAGGUGGAAUUCUUGGAUUGCGUUGCGACAAACUACUGCGAAAGCAUUUGCCAAGGAUGUUUUCAUUGA
Molecule: ribosomal RNA, 381 nt
Filed under: uncultured eukaryote
Lineage: Eukaryota
Description: partial 18S ribosomal RNA
Rfam family: Eukaryotic small subunit ribosomal RNA
Source: RNAcentral